AAUUGCACAGUAUCCAUCUGUA
Molecule: microRNA, 22 nt
Filed under: Gadus morhua (Atlantic cod)
Lineage: Eukaryota; Metazoa; Chordata; Actinopteri; Gadiformes; Gadidae
Description: gmo-miR-363-3p
Gene: gmo-miR-363-3p
Source: miRBase by way of RNAcentral